AGCACUACAACGGGUGGAGCCUGCGGUUUAAUUGGACUCAACGCCGGGAAGGCUCACCGGAUAAGACAGCGGAAUGAUAGCCGGGCUGAAGACUCUGCUUGACUAGCUGAGAGGAGGUGCAUGGCCGUCGUCAGUUCGUACUGUGAAGCAUCCUGUUAAGUCAGGCAACGAGCGAGACCCACGCCAACAGUUGCCAGCAUGUCCUCCGGGAUGGUGGGGACACUGUUGGGACCGCCUCUGCUAAAGAGGAGGAAGGAAUGGGCAACGGUAGGUCAGCAUGCCCCGAAUUAUCCGGGCUACACGCGGGCUACAAUGGUCAGGACAAUGGGCAUCAACACCGAAAGGUGAAGGCAAUCUCUUAAACCUGUCCUUAGUUCGGAUUGUGGGCUGCAACUCGCCCACAUGAAGCUGGAAUCUGUAGUAAUCGCGUCUCAAAAUGGCGCGGUGAAUAUGUCCCUGCUCCUU
RNAcentral lists this ribosomal RNA (465 nucleotides) under uncultured Methanolinea sp. Its description in RNAcentral is "bacterial SSU rRNA". It matches the Rfam family "Archaeal small subunit ribosomal RNA", at positions 875 to 1338 of the family's 1478-position model. Lineage: Archaea; Methanobacteriati; Methanobacteriota; Methanomicrobia; Methanomicrobiales; Methanoregulaceae. The record is from RNAcentral.